This 119-nucleotide ribosomal RNA is filed under the name Pteropus alecto (black flying fox). Lineage: Eukaryota; Metazoa; Chordata; Mammalia; Chiroptera; Pteropodidae. The record is from RNAcentral.
GUCUACAGCCAUGCUCCCCUGAACAAGCUUGAUCCUGUCUGCUCUCAGCAGCUAAGCAGUGUCGGGCUUGGUUAGCUCUUGGAUGGGAGACUACCUAGGCAGACCAGGUGCUGUAGGCA